Non-coding RNA from Linepithema humile (Argentine ant), 811 nucleotides. The record is from RefSeq and is a predicted model, not a curated record. Lineage: Eukaryota; Metazoa; Arthropoda; Insecta; Hymenoptera; Formicidae.
AACAGGCCGACAGGGUUUACAACUGCAAAAACUCUUGCAGAACGAUGAAUAUUUUAAGAAAUUUGUUAUAUCGAAACUGCUUGAAAAUGCAUCACAUCGAAAACAACUUCAAUAUUCUUCAAUGAAAAAGCAUGAUCAAUUAUAUUUUGACAAUCUUCCAUAUAUUGAUAAUGUGGAAUCUUUAAUGCAAUUUAAAUAAUAAGUUGAAAACUGACGAAGUUUACAGGAGUAAAGUGAUCUUGAUGAUGGCCAAAGUAGGAGGAAAACAUUAUAAAAAAAUUUCAAUGGCAAUUUUGAAAAGAAUUAUCCAUUGCACUCUUGCAAAAGAAUAUAGUUGGAAUGGAGGAAAAGGCAAAAUGCAAUUCUGUGUUCUUAAAGGAUUAGUGAAUGCUGUAAUUUGUGCAACUAGGCAUACUAAACAUAAGGUAUAGCAUUGGCAGCUGAUGCAACUGAGAAAGAUAUUAUUGGAAGCAUCAAGGAAUUUCUUCGUCAAUCAAUUGGUCGAGCUAAAACAUGGAAAUCAAAGCAUAAAAAUGAAAGAGAUGAAAAUCUUCACAGCCAUAUAUCUGAAACCGAAGAAGCUUUCUCUGCCAUAAGUAAAAGUGAAGAAGAUGAACAAAAUGAAACUAAUACUUCCAUUGAUUCUGAAAAUAAUAAUGACGUUUAUGAUGAAAGCAAUAAAAUUUCUUAUCUUGAAAACUCGGAUGAUAAAUCUUCUAACUUUUCAACAUUAGAAGUUAACAAUAACUUUUAAAAAACUAUAUAAGUAUAUAUUGCUCUAUAUUUUAUAAAUAAUUUCUUUUCUACACAA